AUUGAACGCUGGCGGCAGGCCUAACACAUGCAAGUCGAACGGUAACAGGAAGAAGCUUGCUUCUUUGCUGACGAGUGGCGGACGGGUGAGUAAUGUCUGUGAAACUGCCUGAUGGAGGGGGAUAACUACUGGAAACGGUAGCUAAUACCGCAUAACGUCGCAAGAACAAAGAGGGGGACCUUCGGGCCUCUUGCACUUGGCUGUGCCCAGGUGGGACUUGCUUGGUGGUGGGGUAACGGAUCACCCAGGGCACCAACCCCAUGCGGGCUGAGAGGGAUGACCAGCCACACGGGAACUGGACACGGGUCCAGACCCCUAGGGGGGGCAGCGGGGGGGAAUGUUGCACAAGGGGGGAAAGCCUGCUGCAGCCCGGCCGCGUGUAUGAAGAAGGCCUUCGGGUUGUAAAGUACUUUCAGCGGGGAGGAAGGGAGUAAAGUUAAUACCUUGGCUCAUUGACGUUACCCGCAGAAGAAGCCCCGGCUAACUCCGUG
RNAcentral lists this ribosomal RNA (491 nucleotides) under uncultured bacterium. RNAcentral describes it as "partial 16S ribosomal RNA". It matches the Rfam family "Bacterial small subunit ribosomal RNA", at positions 29 to 507 of the family's 1533-position model. The record is from RNAcentral.